Long non-coding RNA from Pomacea canaliculata, 5815 nucleotides. RefSeq lists it as uncharacterized. The record is from RefSeq and is a predicted model, not a curated record. The transcript has 3 exons. NCBI's taxonomy places the organism in Eukaryota, Metazoa, Mollusca, Gastropoda, Architaenioglossa, Ampullariidae.
ACCAGGUUAAAGGUCAGAAGACUCAGUAUACACGCAGUCUCCUCAGGAUGCUGGGAGAAACUGGCGGCGAAACCCUUUCAUCUACACGUGCAGUCGGCAGCGUGACCACGUGACUACUCCACUCAGUGACUACUUAUGGCUGCUAACCAGUGAGUCCACAUCACAGACUGUGUAUGAAACCCGACUACAGCGCAUGGAGUCUCUCAUUUUCUCAUGAUAUUAGUAUUUGUUUAUUUUCUGUAAUUUACCCUAUGAAACAAACCAUCAGGUUUACUCAAUAAAGAAUUCGUUCGUUCGUUCGUUCGUUCGUUCGUUCGUUCGUUCGUUCGUUCGUUCGUUCGUUCGUUCGUUCGUUCGUUCGUUCGUUCGUUCGUUCGUUCGUUCGUUCGUUCGUUCAUUAGUUCGUUCAUUCGUUCGUUAGUUCGUUCAUGUUAGUAUUUGUACGGUUGGCAGAUUCUGUAGUCGACUAUCACACAUACGUACAUUAAUUUUUCUGACAUAUUUUUUUCAUGGCUGCAAGGCGGAGAGCUUGUGGCAAAUCAUGCUCACCCAUAAAGUGGCUCAAAGCGCAAAGUAAAGCCAAGAGAGGGCACAGGGGAAGUGGCAGCAAACAAUUUUUUUAAAUCCAAGCACCGUUGCAUUUGUAAGAAGCCUCGGCCUUCACUGCAGCUCGGCACUUGACUAUUGCCAGCAAGUAAAUGGAAUGGACGUGACCCCUGACCCCUGUUGUUGUUUUACAGCACAGAUGGGGAGCAAGCACGGUGAGAGUUGGGAGCCUGAGCAGACGUGUGUUUACACAAAGGUGAACUGGUACAGCAGCUAGUAAAAACUAAGAAUGAUUAAUCGUAUAGCAUGUGUUCAAAAUGAACAUUCAUUAGCUACAUGUAAUUAAGAAUAAAAAUAUUUCUUACGAAAAAGAUUGAAAUAAAAAAGACAUGAUAUCUGUCUAUUCAGCAUCAAAAGCUAUUUAGCAUACAUUAUACUUCAUAAAAAAAGAUGAAUAGAAGGUUGUUAAUUAGAUAUAUGUGCUGAAAAAUAAAAUAUACUAUUUAGUAUUCAAAAAACUAAAUAGAAUGUUAAUAAUAUACGCGGUCCUGUGCUCUUGAAAGGAGCAAGAAGGAAUAAACUAAUCGACUAAACUUAUACAAGAAAAGAAAGUUUCUGUCUAUUUAAUAUGCAGGGAAAGCGAAUAAUAUAGUAUUUAAAAUGGUGUCUGUUAUUUAAAAUCCCUCCCCCAUAAAAAAAGAGCGAAAUUGUCAACAGGACGAAAGCUUGUGUAACUGUCACAUAAAAACUUCGCUGACAUUAUUCUCAACCGUUGUCAAAAUAUUUGUCUGGUUAAAAACUCUAAUGAGACAAAUGUUCCACGUGACAGUCAAGUGCAGAUAAUUAGUUAACGAAUGUACAUUGAAUGCUUACACGAGACAAGAGUUAUGGGCAAGUGUAGAUAAUUAGUGAGUCAGUCUAAUUAGAUGAUUACAUGGACAAGUGUAGACAAUCAGUCAACAAAUAUACAUGGCGAGCUUCCAGCACAUGAAGAGUGUGAUUUAGUCGUGAAAGCAAUGUGAUUUUAGGGGGAACCUAAAUGAAAAUUCCAGACAGAAAAAUUUCGUUAAGUUGAUAUGUGAUUAAAGGGAUAAAAUGUUCCUAACAAAGAAAUUUUCCGAAACCCGAAAAAAUCUUUUUUGUUCAUAAUAAAUUAUAAUUACAAAAUGCGAAGAUACCAAAAUUGGUAGAUUGAUUGUUUGUGUACAGUGUACAUGACACGUGACAAUACUAGAGGAUGCGCCAAGUUCCCUACAGAGUAUCGAACCCAGCAGUUCAUAUUGACUGCUGGCAGCCUACCCCGGGUAGUGAGGGUAUCCUGGCCUCUCACAAAGUGGCAUGACGAUAGCAAAGCAAAGAUGAUUGCUUUCUGCUUCACAUGCAUCAUCGCCGAUGAGGCCGGACCUUGGGGUGGCACUGAUCUGUCCUCAUCUUGUGUUUCUUUACAUAAAAAUGUAAAAUGUACCCGUUCAUAGACUUAUCUUGUUAUCUUUCCGACUUCCUCACUGCAUCUGUCUCGGACUGUGCAGGCUUGUCUGUCUGUCUGUCUGUCUGUCUGUCUGUCUGUCUGUCUGUCUGUCUGUCACACACACACUGCGUGGUAGAGGUGAAAAUGUCGAGCACAUACUUUAUCUCAAACCUAUUGCGCAUUUGAUAACUCUAUAGAUACAUGUAUAUGAGAAACCAAAUUUGAUUGUUGUGGUUUUCAUGUUAAUAUUACAAUUUUAUAGUUUUCUUUUUUUUUUUUUUUUUUACUUGCGUUGCUUUUGCUGUUGUCUUCAAUUAUUUUAUGUUGCUGCUGGAGUUUAGUGGCUUUUAACGGUCGGCACGUUUGUGCGCGUGCAGUGGAGGGUAAGUGUAUUAUUCCCAGGCUCACUAAAACAGUUUUAAUAUUAAAUAAUAUACAUCAAUGGCAAAUUGUAAUAUUGGGCAAAAGUGUUAGUAUUCAUGGAUGUACGUCAGUCGUAAUUUGUUGUCGCCUUGUAUAUUUGUCUAACUCCUCGUCGCCCCCGUACUUUACCCUCACGUCCGUUGACAGUAAAAUAUCUUCCAUGUGUCCGCGUACCUGUCCCAUCCUUCCCUUCCUUUGCAUGUUGUACAUCGUCGUGUCUUUAUCUCACGCGCACAGCACAUGAUGACUGUGAUUCGGCAAUACAGAAAUCGCGACGACAACGACGACGACGACGAUGAUUUUACAGGCUGUAACCCAAGCAUAUUUUAAAUAAACUAUACUUUAUAAACCGGUUUAAAGGUUUUGAUUCGUGAAAUAUUUUGUGACUUGAUAUUGUCACAAACAGCGACACUUGAGACACGAGCUCCACAGUUUCUGUAAAUAUCAGGAAUUUCACGUAUCAGAUGUUAAAUCAGGUGUUACCUACUACCUGUCAACUCACAAGUUAACCCCAUCACUGCAAAUACACUUCGCAGGUAUUAAUGUUCGUCUUUAGUUUAUUUUUUCUCUCUCUCUUACAUCCAUUCUCACACAGCAUUUGUGACUAUAAUAAAUCCCCUUACGAGCAAGUUUCCUUUCUCCAUGAGAAUCUUGGACAAUAUUCACUCUUGUCAUUGUCAUAUUCCUCGUUCUUACAGUUUUUUUUUUUCUCCUUCAGUUUUUCUCAAUUGCUGACAAUUUUUAAUUAUGUAUAUAGCUUCUCUCAAAACUAAAGGUUCCCAAGUUUUAUAAACAUUUUCUUCUCUGACUCAAUUGUUUUUUUAUAUCUUCUUUACUUGUUUGGUUAGUUAGGCCUCGCUGUCUUUUUGUCACACUUUGCUGUCAUUUAUAUCAUUUUUGCCAGACUUAUCUUACACUGUAGCUGCCGAUCCCGUUGUUAAAUCCGCACAUUAAGACCUUUGUGGUUGGUAAACACCCCAGAGGUAACACGACCCACUUCAGUGACUUCAUCCACUGUACUAAACGGGAACACUAGUAACCCCCGUAACCCCAGUAACCCCAGUACUCAACACAAUCUUUACUGACCAUCAGCUAGUUACACCUACGUUAGCACAGGUGAGUACAUUGCUACUCAUCCCUUUCCCUCUCUUCUGUCUAUCCCUAUGAUGUAGAAAUAGUCUUCCCUCUCUUUACCGCACGAAGUGUAAGGUUGAACUAGUGUCACAAGUCGCUGUGCCGAGGGCUACACGUGGUGCCACUGUCGUAAAUGUUGGCACCUGUAAGGUUGGCAGGCUCUCAGUAAGCACACAUAUGUAAAUCAGAGAGGUCGUUUGAUGACAGCAGUGCGUGGCACAUGGCGGUGUGAACAGGAGUGGGACAGGAGGACACCAGUGGUGUUCAAGAUGAAUGACAAGAAAAUUCUAGUGACGAGUUGCAAACCUCGUGUGGAAGUCCCUGGAAGUUGAAACUGCUGCCCGCGGCUCCAGGUCCAAACUCAUGAUGAAGGCGCACAAAACUGUAAAACUGUGGCGGGUGUCAACUCAGUUUGCCAGUGAACCUCCACUACAAACUACAUGAUGGAUGUGACAGAAAUGGUUUGAGGUCUGCCUCUACACAACACCGUGUGCAAGUACUACAACUACAACUACAACACAACAGUCAGUCAAAGGCCUGCGAGAUCACAUGAUAAAAUGUUUACCAGGGUACAAACACCGGCACAAGGCAGUAUGUGUAGGGCAUGUGCACAAAGACCGGGUGCCGCAUACCCGUAUACCUAUCCCCUGUCUAAUGUACACCAGUGUGUUGUUGGUGUGUUCAUACUCUGCCCGGUGACUGUUAUGCAGGUACCAGUAAGUGUCCAGGCCUGUCUGUCGGACUGUCAGACAUCAAACCACCUGCGUCGUCCCGCUGUCUCACUGGUUCCUUCAACUUCUGCUUCCUCCCAGUCCUCCAUGAUGUACAGCACAGCAGUUACAUCGUCCUGGCGCUGCCUGCAGGCUUCGUUUGACACCCGCAACACCAUCAACACCCGCAACACCCUCAACACCCUCAACACCCGCAACACCAACACCCUCAGCCCCACGGCCUGCUUCUCAGCUUUCACUGUCUCACAUUGCACUUGUCCGGUGACCCCUACACCGGGUGCCACGCCUCCCACCCCCUACCCUUUAAGGUGUCUCCGUCUUCCAAUAUGUGAACGCACCGACGUUUGCAGCUGUGGCUUGAUGUUGUGCAGGGUUGUGGUGUAGUCACUGUAGUGUGUACAUGUCAGGUCUGGUGUAGUCUGUCCAUUUGUACAUAAUGUUGUGUGAGGUUACCUGUGUUAAUUAAUAACUAAUUAAAAAGGUGUAAGUAAUAAAUGCAGCAGAAAAAGUACGCGCGAGUGAAUGAUAUAAUGAUAUCAGAUAAAUCGCUUCCCAUCGCAUGAAAGUAAAUCUCUAUCUCAGGUGUUUGCUUACAGUUCCCCUUAGCCAACGAGCAAACAUAAUUUAUUCAAAUUCUCAAAAACACACAAAAACAAACAAACAAAAAACCAGGCAAUGAACCUGAGUCGCUAGUUAAGGUGACGUGUACAGGGAGGGAGCAAAAAUUCCUCCUUUACAAACAGGCAACGACACAGACGACUAAUUCAAAGUAGCAUCAUUCUAUUCUGAGCCUUUUGCUUCCACCCGCUUUCACCGACAGAAGUGUGGCAAUGACAAUGACAAUGACAGUGACAAUGACAGUGACAGUGACAGUGACAGUGACAAUGACAGUGACAAUGCUAGCGCUCGUUAAAACUCGUAAUUUUCUUCCUUCGUGCCUGCAGUCUGCUGGCGGGAAACUCCACGUGUCUGCACCCUGAAUGGACAGCCAGGGUCCAUGCUGCAUGCUACCCGCGGUAUUUCCUCCUUCCUUUGUACUUUUACACCAGAGUGGACCUCAUUCACCUCAGUACACAAAUACAAAUUUCGUCUCUCCUGUAGGAGUUUGACAACGGCGUCAGUGUGAGGUGCUGUGCGUCUUCUGGAUAUGGGACCAACACCAACACCAGCACCAACACCAACACCAACACCAACACCAGCACCAACACCAACACCAACACCAGGAUCAUCUUGGCGGCAGAUAGGAACCAUAGUGGAAUGUGCGGUGGGAGGAGGAUUGAUGGCCAUGAGCCUGGACCGUCUGCUGAGUCCUCCGUGGGCGACGACACCAGUGAGUGAGCGCUGCUCACUAGGCCACCACUAGCCGCAACUGAGAGGGGAGCUUGUCCCUCCUUUCCUACCCUUUCACUAUACCUUUUAAAGGGUACAUAAUUAUUAUCGUUGAAGUUCAUCGUUUUUUCUUGUGUACGUUUGGUUCCUUUGUUAACUGGCAAAACAAAGGGCGUAGGCAUUG